GACGAACGCUGGCGGCGUGCUUAACACAUGCAAGUCGAACGGAAAGGCCCUGCUUUUGUGGGGUGCUCGAGUGGCGAACGGGUGAGUAACACGUGAGUAACCUGCCCUUGACUUUGGGAUAACUUCAGGAAACUGGGGCUAAUACCGGAUAGGAGCUCCUGCUGCAUGGUGGGGGUUGGAAUGUUUCGGCGGUUGGGGAUGGACUCGCGGCUUAUCAGCUUGUUGGUGGGGUAGUGGCUUACCAAGGCUUUGACGGGUAGCCGGCCUGAGAGGGUGACCGGCCACAUUGGGACUGAGAUACGGCCCAGACUCCUACGGGAGGCAGCAGUGGGGAAUAUUGCACAAUGGGCGGAAGCCUGAUGCAGCAACGCCGCGUGCGGGAUGACGGCCUUCGGGUUGUAAACCGCUUUCGCCUGUGACGAAGCGUGAGUGACGGUAACGGGUAAAGAAGCACCGGCUAACUACGUG
This 468-nucleotide ribosomal RNA is filed under the name uncultured bacterium. Its description in RNAcentral is "partial 16S ribosomal RNA". It matches the Rfam family "Bacterial small subunit ribosomal RNA", at positions 28 to 507 of the family's 1533-position model. The record is from RNAcentral.